RNAcentral lists this ribosomal RNA (430 nucleotides) under Eubranchus sp. 'Amphorina' 2 TK-2019. RNAcentral describes it as "partial large subunit ribosomal RNA". It matches the Rfam family "Bacterial large subunit ribosomal RNA", at positions 1838 to 2597 of the family's 2925-position model. The record is from RNAcentral. Lineage: Eukaryota; Metazoa; Mollusca; Gastropoda; Nudibranchia; Eubranchidae.
AAGAUAUUUUUGGUUUAACCUGCCCAAUGUAUUAUUGUAUGAAUGGCCGCGGUACCCUGACCGUGCUAAGGUAGCGUAAUCAGUUGGCUUUUAAAUGGAGUCAGGUAUGAAUGGGAUAACCGGGCUUAGCUGUCUCAAAGACAUUUAUUUGAAUUUACUGUUCAAGUGAAAAAGCUUGACGUAAGAAAAGGGACGAGAAGACCCUUAGAAUUUUUUUUAAAGAGGAUUAUCUCCUCUAUGAUUUUGUUGGGGCGACAGAGAAAUAAUUAAAACUUUCUUUAAAUUAAUCAGUCGGAAUUUUCAGGUUAGGAUAAAUUACCUGAGGGAUAACAGCAUAAUUUUAUAAAUAAGUUUGUGACCUCGAUGUUGGACUAGGAAGCUAAUGGGUUAGCUGCUCAUUGUGCGGAUUCUGUUCGAAUUUUAACUCCUA